CGACCGGGAGCGUGUGUGGUGCGCGCCUGCCUUGAGGCCAGGCCUCAGAGAAGGGUGUCCCAGAUGUAGGCAAAGCGUCCUCCAUGUGUUCCUGGAGGACCGUCCCAAGUCCUUCUCCAUUCUCCCAACCUCUUGGGCCUGGGAUGUCCUCCACCUUUUCAAUCUGAUUUGCUCUUUGCCAUGCAGACCUGUGGAUGAAGAGCCAGAGUCCUCCAAGGUGAAGCUGGACUGAAUAUUUCUGUCCAUAAGACUAUUAGAAUCCCCCAAAGUGGGAUACCAGUGAGGACCUCACCAGCAGCUGCUGUCUCUCCAAUGCAGGUGAUCUCAGGGCCUGUCCCUCUCCAUGGGGCCUCUCCACCUGGACGACUUGAGUGGUGCUCAAAGCUCCCAAGGGAGCAAACACCGAGGCUGUCAGGCCUUCUUGAGGCGGAGGCCCAGAGUGGCACAGCCUCACCCCCACGGCACUCUCCUGGAAUGAGUCCCAGAUAGUCCACAAGGGUGUGAUGUUGGGUGACCGUGCU
This is a long non-coding RNA of Homo sapiens (human), 521 nucleotides long. Ensembl annotates it as CCDC144NL antisense RNA 1. Its record names the gene CCDC144NL-AS1. NCBI's taxonomy places the organism in Eukaryota, Metazoa, Chordata, Mammalia, Primates, Hominidae. The record is from Ensembl.